This 233-nucleotide long non-coding RNA is filed under the name Solanum tuberosum (potato). Its description in RNAcentral is "long non-coding RNA (STUB_LNC001364)". Lineage: Eukaryota; Viridiplantae; Streptophyta; Magnoliopsida; Solanales; Solanaceae. The record is from RNAcentral.
GCUUUGAUUCGGUUUUAGAUGAGUUGCAAGGCAUAGACUUGGAUGAAUUUGAUUUGGAUGUAGAUGAGCUCUUAAAGGUAGGCUUAGGUGGCUUUGAUUCAGAUGUAGAUGAGUACGAUUACAUGAAUAAAAGAAUGUAAGAUAUCUUGGCUAUAGAGGUAAGGAAGGACAAAGAUAUUAAAGGGAUCCCCUAGAAAGGGUUCCCAUAACCAGGGAGACAACUAGGCAAAGAA